AAACUUUCAACAACGGAUCUCUUGGUUCCGGCAUCGAUGAAGAACGCAGCGAAAUGCGAUAAGUAAUGUGAAUUGCAGAAUUCCGUGAAUCAUCGAAUCUUUGAACGCACAUU
This 113-nucleotide ribosomal RNA is filed under the name Microsporum audouinii. RNAcentral describes it as "5.8S ribosomal RNA". It matches the Rfam family "5.8S ribosomal RNA", at positions 1 to 112 of the family's 154-position model. From Rfam's summary of the family: 5.8S ribosomal RNA (5.8S rRNA) is a component of the large subunit of the eukaryotic ribosome. It is transcribed by RNA polymerase I as part of the 45S precursor that also contains 18S and 28S rRNA. Functionally, it is thought that 5.8S rRNA may be involved in ribosome translocation. Lineage: Eukaryota; Fungi; Ascomycota; Eurotiomycetes; Onygenales; Arthrodermataceae. The record is from RNAcentral.